AUAAGAGGUCCCGCCUGCCCUGUGACUAUAUGUUUAACGGCCGCGGUAUUUUGACCGUGCGAAGGUAGCGCAAUCACUUGUCUUUUAAAUAGGGACCUGUAUGAAUGGCAUAACGAGGGCUUGACUGUCUCCUCUUUCAAGUCAAUGAAAUUGAUCUCCCCGUGCAGAAGCGGGGAUAAAUACAUAAGACGAGAAGACCCUAUGGAGCUUUAGACACUAAAGCAGAUCAGCAUUAAUACCCCACACACGGGAUUCGAAUAAGACUGACCCCUGCCCUAAUGUCUUCGGUUGGGGCGACCGCGGAGAAAUAUAAAACCCCCGCAAGGACUGAAUGUACCACAUUCACAACCAAGAGUGACAGCUCUAAUUAACAGAAUUUCUGACCAAUAAGAUCCGGCAAUGCCGAUCAAUGGACCAAGUUACCCUAGGGAUAACAGCGCAAUCUCCUCUUAGAGCCCAUAUCGACGAGGAGGUUUACGACCUCGAUGUUGGAUCAGGACAUCCUAAUGGUGCAGCCGCUAUUAAGGGUUCGUU
This 534-nucleotide ribosomal RNA is filed under the name Epinephelus coioides (orange-spotted grouper). Its description in RNAcentral is "partial large subunit ribosomal RNA". It matches the Rfam family "Bacterial large subunit ribosomal RNA", at positions 1845 to 2577 of the family's 2925-position model. The record is from RNAcentral. Lineage: Eukaryota; Metazoa; Chordata; Actinopteri; Perciformes; Serranidae.